Molecule: ribosomal RNA, 467 nt
Filed under: uncultured bacterium
Lineage: Bacteria
Description: partial 16S ribosomal RNA
Rfam family: Bacterial small subunit ribosomal RNA
Source: RNAcentral
ACGAACGCUGGCGGCGUGCUUCACACAUGCAAGUCGAACGGAAAGGCCCUGCUUUUGUGGGGUGCUCGAGUGGCGAACGGGUGAGUAACACGUGAGUAACCUGCCCUUGACUUUGGGAUAACUUCAGGAAACUGGGGCUAAUACCGGAUAGGAGCUCCUGCUGCAUGGUGGGGGUUGGAAAGUUUCGGCGGUUGGGGAUGGACUCGCGGCUUAUCAGCUUGUUGGUGGGGUAGUGGCUUACCAAGGCUUUGACGGGUAGCCGGCCUGAGAGGGUGACCGGCCACAUUGGGACUGAGAUACGGCCCAGACUCCUACGGGAGGCAGCAGUAGGGAAUAUUGCACAGUGGGCGGAAGCCUGAUGCAGCAACGCCGCGUGCGGGAUGACGGCCUUCGGGUUGUAAACCGCUUUCGCCUGUGACGAAGCGUGAGUGACGGUAAUGGGUAAAGAAGCACCGGCUAACUACGUG